GGCGUCCUUACGUUGUUGUUAUUUUGCUGAAUUCUUGUGUGAAAUUUGUAGGAAAUCCUCAUCAAAAUCAUAGUUGAUUAUUCAAGAAGUGUUCAAUGGCGGGUCAGUGGAGUCAGACUCGGUGGAAUUUUGAACGAUCUUUCCCGCUUAUACAUACUACAUAAAAAAACUUUAUUGGACUGUCUAAUCCUUGCGACAAACCCAAAAGUGUAUCUCGAGUGUUUGCUAUGACACGCUAAGAAGAUUGUUUCUUUGUCUGGUCUAAUCUGGCAGGGUAUUCUUUAAUAAUUUAGCAUAGGCUCAAUACAAGGAAAAUAUGGGGAUAACAUUAAAAAAUCUUCACCUAUAAAACCUCUGCAGCAUAUUUAUGGUCAAUAGCUACCGGCCCAGUGGGAGCAGUGGAAGAAAGAAAGGUUGAAUUUUCUCCAAUAGUUUGCCCACUCGGGGAUUGACAGUAAAUAGAUUUCAAAAGUGAUUUUGCAGCUUUAUUUAUUCAAAUCAAUACGUUUCAGAUUUA
Long non-coding RNA from Plutella xylostella (diamondback moth), 517 nucleotides. RefSeq lists it as uncharacterized. NCBI's taxonomy places the organism in Eukaryota, Metazoa, Arthropoda, Insecta, Lepidoptera, Plutellidae. The record is from RefSeq and is a predicted model, not a curated record.